Ursus americanus (American black bear) is the source of this 129-nucleotide ribosomal RNA. Lineage: Eukaryota; Metazoa; Chordata; Mammalia; Carnivora; Ursidae. The record is from Ensembl.
GUCUACGGCCAUACCACCCUGAACGCGCCCGAUCUCGUCUGAUCUCGGAAGCUAAGCAGGGUCAGGCCUGGUUAGUACUUGGAUGGAAGAAGCUUACAUUCAUAAUUCAUUCAUUGUCCACUGUAUAUC